UACUCCUACGGGAGGCAGCAGUGGGGAAUAUUGGACAAUGGGCGCAAGCCUGAUCCAGCCAUGCCGCGUGAGUGAUGAAGGCCUUAGGGUUGUAAAGCUCUUUUAGCAGGGAAGAUAAUGACGGUACCUGCAGAAAAAGCCCCGGCUAACUUCGUGCCAGCAGCCGCGGUAAUACGAAGGGGGCUAGCGUUGCUCGGAAUUACUGGGCGUAAAGCGCACGUAGGCGGCUUCUUAAGUCGGUGGUGAAAUCCUGGAGCUCAACUCCAGAACUGCCUUCGAUACUGGGAAGCUCGAGUUCGGGAGAGGUGAGUGGAACUGCGAGUGUAGAGGUGAAAUUCGUAGAUAUUCGCAAGAACACCAGUGGCGAAGGCGGCUCACUGGCCCGAUACUGACGCUGAGGUGCGAAAGCSUKGGGRRSMAAMMRGRWUWAGAUACCCUGGUAGUCCACGCUGUAAACGAUGGAUGCUAGCCGUUGGCGAGCUUGCUCGUCAGUGGCGCAGCUAACGCUUUAAGCWUCCCGCCUGGGGAGUACGGUCGCWAGAUUAAAACUCAAAUGAAUUGACGG
This 565-nucleotide ribosomal RNA is filed under the name uncultured Hyphomicrobiales bacterium. RNAcentral describes it as "uncultured Rhizobiales bacterium partial 16S ribosomal RNA". It matches the Rfam family "Bacterial small subunit ribosomal RNA", at positions 334 to 916 of the family's 1533-position model. The record is from RNAcentral. Lineage: Bacteria; Pseudomonadati; Pseudomonadota; Alphaproteobacteria; Hyphomicrobiales.